GUGGGGAAUAUUGGGCAAUGGGCGCAAGCCUGACCCAGCAACGCCGCGUGAAGGAAGAAGGCUUUCGGGUUGUAAACUUCUUUUACCAGGGACGAAACAAAUGACGGUACCUGGUGAAUAAGCCACGGCUAACUACGUGCCAGCAGCCGCGGUAAUACGUAGGUGGCGAGCGUUAUCCGGAUUUAUUGGGUGUAAAGGGCGUGUAGGCGGGACAGCAAGUCAGAUGUGAAAACCAGAGGCUCAACCUCUGGCCUGCAUUUGAAACUGUUGUUCUUGAGUGUCGGAGAGGUAAUCGGAAUUCCGUGUGUAGCGGUGAAAUGCGUAGAUAUACGGAGGAACACCAGUGGCGAAGGCGGAUUACUUGACGAUAACUGACGCUGAGGCGCGAAAGCGUGGGGAGCAAACAGGAUUAGAAACCCCAGUAGUCC
RNAcentral lists this ribosomal RNA (428 nucleotides) under uncultured bacterium. RNAcentral describes it as "partial 16S ribosomal RNA". It matches the Rfam family "Bacterial small subunit ribosomal RNA", at positions 354 to 796 of the family's 1533-position model. The record is from RNAcentral.